Molecule: long non-coding RNA, 160 nt
Filed under: Mustela putorius furo (domestic ferret)
Lineage: Eukaryota; Metazoa; Chordata; Mammalia; Carnivora; Mustelidae
Description: lncRNA (ENSMPUG00000030235.1)
Source: RNAcentral
UGUUUCUAGACUACACAGUGCAGGAGUCCGAGUGACUUCGGGAGUGCUGAUGGUGGUCUGUGAAUUCCAAUCAGGGACAUAUGAAGGCCUCAGAGAAAGGGACAGGAUCAGAUCCAUGCCACGAAGACUGUGAGAAGGAUGGACUCAGCACAGAGGAGAG